UGAUCCUUUUAAGCCGAGGGUCACAUAGCCAACUGACGUUGUUAAUGAACCUAUUUUGUUCAUAUUGAAGUGCUUAAUGCUGUUGCUUGUUAUUU
RNAcentral lists this small RNA (95 nucleotides) under Vibrio gazogenes DSM 21264 = NBRC 103151. RNAcentral describes it as "Qrr RNA". It matches the Rfam family "Qrr RNA". From Rfam's summary of the family: This family represents a set of small RNAs (the Qrr RNAs) that are thought to be involved in the regulation of quorum sensing in Vibrio species. It is believed that these RNAs, guided by a protein, Hfq, can mediate the destabilisation of the quorum-sensing master regulators LuxR/HapR mRNAs. The record is from RNAcentral. Lineage: Bacteria; Pseudomonadati; Pseudomonadota; Gammaproteobacteria; Vibrionales; Vibrionaceae.